UACGUAGGGGGCAAGCGUUGUCCGGAAUCAUUGGGCGUAAAGCGCGUGUAGGCGGCUCGAUAAGUCUGCUGUGAAAGUCCAGGGCUCAACCCUGGGAUGCCGGUGGAUACUGUCGAGCUCGAGUCCGGAAGAGGCGAGUGGAAUUCCUGGUGUAGCGGUGAAAUGCGCAGAUAUCAGGAGGAACACCAAUUGCGAAGGCAGCUCGCUGGGACGUUACUGACGCUGAGACGCGAAAGCGUGGGGAGCAAACAGG
This 253-nucleotide ribosomal RNA is filed under the name uncultured bacterium. RNAcentral's name for it is "partial 16S ribosomal RNA". It matches the Rfam family "Bacterial small subunit ribosomal RNA", at positions 524 to 776 of the family's 1533-position model. The record is from RNAcentral.